AGCAGCUCUACCUGAGAACCGGACGGGCUAAGACACAAAAACUGAAGAAUUUUGAACAAAUAUUGAUUCCAAUCUUCAAAACUUUGAAAAUGGGAGGUGGUAAAUCUGUGGAAUCUGCUAAACCUGAGGAAUCUGGUGAAGAAAGGGAACGUAAAAGAGCUGAAGCAGCUGAAAAUCAAAAAUCGACUAUGGAGGAAGAACUUAAGAAACAAAAACUAGAAAAUGAAUUAGAGCGAUUGAGAGAGGAGAAAAAAAUAGCAGAGGAGCGCAACAAAAGCGAAGCAGAAAAACGAGCACUCCAGGAACAAUAUGAUAAAAUAGAAAAUGAGAGAAACAUGCAGAGAUUGAAAGAAGAAGAGAAGAAGAAAAUCGACAAUGAGAACAGAUGUAAAGAGGAAGAAGAAAGGAAAAGAAUUCAAAUAGAGAAGCAAAAUGCACAAAAAGACGAAAGUAAAAAGAUGCUAACAAGCGUUAACCAAUGAAGUAGGCCUACUUUUUCUAAACUCUUAACACAGUAACACGCCUACAUCACAAUUGGCCAAAUAGUAGCCUACAUUUCCUGGCCAAAACCACAUUUUGUAAAAUGUAUACAAAAUGCAAAAAAAACUUUUUCUAUGUUAACUCUAUCAAAUCAAAGCAAACAGCCUCAGAUUUGAAUCAUUCUUUCAAAACUCCAGCACGGGUUUUCUAUCCAACACGAACACAUAGGACUAGUCAAUCAUUGCAGAACAACUGUCAAAAUACUAAAAAUGGAUGGCAUUAUGAAAACUGCAUUAUUGAAAACUGUCAUGUUGAAGUUCUACCUGCAGACAAUAUGAAAUCCAUUGGUUUUUUUUUAAUUAUUCAGUUUCCUUUCACUGUAAGCAUAUGAAAUCCAUUUUUUUUUAAUUAUUCAGUUUCCUUUUACUGUAAGCCAUUGUAUUUUUCUUUGGUUGAAUGUGUGCAAUCUAAAAGUAAAUGAGUUAUAAAGUGUAAAAAAAAAAGAAAAAAGUAAUAGGUCCCUACUUCAGUUGAAAUCUCUUUGGUGUGUGGUCUGUGGUUUACUGAAAUGAAAACAUGAAAUUGCUGUCAGUUGGUUUCGAUGGAACCCCCCCCCCCCCAACAGAAUAAAAAAAGUGUAAAAUGUAA
Non-coding RNA from Pimephales promelas (fathead minnow), 1128 nucleotides. The record is from RefSeq and is a predicted model, not a curated record. NCBI's taxonomy places the organism in Eukaryota, Metazoa, Chordata, Actinopteri, Cypriniformes, Leuciscidae.